UACGAAGGGGGCUAGCGUUACUCGGAAUUACUGGGCGUAAAGCGUGCGUAGGCGGCUUAGUAAGUUGGAAGUGAAAUCCUGGAGCUCAACUCCAGAAUUGCUUUCAAUACUGCUAGGCUAGAGAUUUAUAGGGGAUAGCGGAAUUCCUAGUGUAGAGGUGAAAUUCGUAGAUAUUAGGAGGAACACCGAAAGCGAAAGCGGCUAUCUGGGUAAAUACUGACGCUGUUGCACGAAAGCGUGGGGAGCAAACAGG
This 253-nucleotide ribosomal RNA is filed under the name uncultured bacterium. Its description in RNAcentral is "partial 16S ribosomal RNA". It matches the Rfam family "Bacterial small subunit ribosomal RNA", at positions 524 to 776 of the family's 1533-position model. The record is from RNAcentral.